CUAAUCGUAUCUCUAAUUUUCUUCCUGUUAAAAUUCUCAAAAGCAAUUGAAAUACCAUCUUCAGUUCAACAGGUUCCAACAAUCAUAAAACAGUCAAAAGUCCAAGUUGCCUUUCCCUUUGAUGAGUAUUUUCAGAUUGAAUGUGAAGCUAAAGGAAAUCCAGAACCAAUAUUUUCGUGGACUAAGGAUGGCAACCCUUUUUAUUUCACUGACCAUCGGAUAAUGACAUCGAACAAUUCAGGAACGUUCAGAAUCCCAAAUGAGGGGCACAUAUCUCACUUUCAAGGGAAAUACCGCUGCUUUGCUUCAAAUAAACUGGGAAUCGCUAUGUCAGAAGAAAUAGAAUUUAUAGUUCCAAGUAAGUACUAUAAUGGGAAUUUCAUUUUACAAGUGUUUUAGUGAAAUGUUAAAUAGGAGUUAGAUUGGGUUCCAAUGAAAUAAAGCAGUUAUUAAUUAAAUCAA
RNAcentral lists this small RNA (462 nucleotides) under Pan troglodytes (chimpanzee). RNAcentral describes it as "processed transcript". The record is from RNAcentral. Lineage: Eukaryota; Metazoa; Chordata; Mammalia; Primates; Hominidae.